RNAcentral lists this ribosomal RNA (510 nucleotides) under uncultured bacterium. Its description in RNAcentral is "partial 16S ribosomal RNA". It matches the Rfam family "Bacterial small subunit ribosomal RNA", at positions 28 to 507 of the family's 1533-position model. The record is from RNAcentral.
GACGAACGCUGGCGGCGUGCUUAACACAUGCAAGUCGAACGAAGAGCGAUGGACGCUUGCUUCUCUCAAUCUUAGUGGCGAACGGGUGAGUAACGCGUAAUCAACCUGCCCUUCAGAGGGGGACAACAGUUGGAAACGACUGCUAAUACCGCAUACGAUCUAAUCUCGGCAUCGAGGAUAGAUGAAAGGUGGCCUCUACAUGUAAGCUAUCACUGAAGGCGGGGAUUGCGUCUGAUUAGCUAGUUGGAGGGGUAACGGCCCACCAAGGCGAUGAUCAGUAGCCGGUCUGAGAGGAUGAACGGCCACAUUGGGACUGAGACACGGCCCAGACUCCUACGGGAGGCAGCAGUGGGGAAUCUUCCGCAAUGGACGAAAGUCUGACGGAGCAACGCCGCGUGAGUGAUGACGGCCUUCGGGUUGUAAAGCUCUGUUAAUCGGGACGAAAGGCCUUCUUGCGAAUAGUGAGAAGGAUUGACGGUACCGGAAUAGAAAGCCACGGCUAACUACGUG